Long non-coding RNA from Homo sapiens (human), 21255 nucleotides. RefSeq lists it as uncharacterized. The transcript has 2 exons. The record is from RefSeq and is a predicted model, not a curated record. NCBI's taxonomy places the organism in Eukaryota, Metazoa, Chordata, Mammalia, Primates, Hominidae.
CAAAAGGAUCUUGUUUUAAGAAGACAGUUAUUUUGUAAUUAAUGUCUGGGCUUCCUAUUCUUUCCUGUAAGAAUUAGUCAUAUGAUUUAUAUUUUCAUUUUUCAUUAUCCUUACUAGUCUUUUAGUAGUUUUGCAAUACAGAAAAUAGAAAUAGAGUUAUCAAAGUGGUAGUAAUGAGUAAGAUUUGAUCACACAUGUCAAAUGCCUGAGGCAUUUUAUUUAUUUUUAUUUUUUCUGUCGCCAUGGCAGAACAGAAUGCCUGAGGUAUAUAAUAAAAUUCACAAAUGUAUCCUUUUUCCUCCCAGAUAUGUCUAGUUAAGUUUCUGAACAGUAUGUGUUUUAAAAGAGGAACUCUAAAGAGAACUUAAUAUUCAACUAUUUUUUGUAGCCGCUUAUUCAUAAUUAGCAAAUGAAUUCUGAAAUACUUUUGUAAUUAUUGUUCCCUGAUGGAUUUAUUUGCUAUGUUAAGAAAUAGUAUAAGACUUUGGGCAUCUAUAUACCUUUUGUGUUUACUGAAUAUUUUAUAUAUCUGGAUAAUUUUUAAAGGUGUCUUUGAAUUUAAAGUUACUAUGGCAGGUGAGAAGUGAAACACUUCAUAAGAUGUGAUUGACAUUUUUCUUUCAUACGCUUUGUGAGACAUUUAUAUGAAACAUUUACUUUGAUGUUUAAAAAACACUGAUUGUUUAAAAAUAAUCUAUUUUAAUAAUCAGAAUUGCUUUCAUUUAAAAAUAUUUGUUUAUUUGGCCAUGAUAAUCAUUUAGAAUAGUUAAUGUGAAAGUUCACCGUAGACAUAGUUGUUUCUCCUUUGUUUUCUUCAGCUCUGAAAUGGUUAAUUUCAUGGUUUCUCACUUAAAAUAAAGAAGUAAGAAAAAUAAACUUACAGGCUUCUUGGCAAGAGGUUAGAGCCCUACCAGGAAGAAGUAGCCUUAGACUUUCAAAGUAAAGUCUUAGUAUUUGCUCUUCCUGUUCUUUUGGUAGCUAAAGUGGCAUUUCCGUUACUUUGUGUUCUGUCUUAGUAUGUUCCCAGUUAAACUGCUUUAUACGUUUCUCUAGAGAAUCAAAAUUUUGGACUUGACCUUUUAGUAUUUUGUAUGUUCACUGUGUAUGUGAAUCAUUUUGGGCAGUUAGAUAGUUCUUUAAAAGAGAAUCUUGAUGAACCUAAGCCUUUGUAUUAAAAAUUAUGUUCAGAGUUGUGAUUUGUUAGAUUAUCAGAAAAUGAAGGAUUUCUCAAGUUAUAUUAUUAUCAAGAUAUAUUAUAUCCCCCACGAAAGUGGUACAUUUGUUAAAAUUGAUGGACCUACAUUCAGACAUCUUUACCACCCAAAGUCCAUGGUUUACAUUAGGGUUUUUUUUUUUUUGAGACGGAGUUUCGCUCUUGUUGCCCAGGCUGGAGUGCAGUGGUGCGAUCUCAGCUAACUGCAACCUUUGCCUCCUGGGUUCAAGGGAUUCUCCUGCCUCAGCCUCCCAAAUACCUGGGAUUACAGGUGCCCACCACCACGCCCAGCUAAAUUUUUGUAUUUUUGAUAGAGAUGGGGCUUCACCAUGUUGGCCAGGCUGGUCUCGAGCUCCUGACCUCAGGUGAUCCACCCACCUCGGCCUCCCAAAGUGUUGGGAUUACAGGCGUGAGCCACUGCGCCCGGCCAAGGUUUACUCUUGCUGUUUGUAUGUUCUAUGGGUUUGGCCAAUUGUAUGGCACAUAUCCACUGUUGUAGCGGUACAAUGUUUAUCUGCCCUGAAAUACUCUGUGCUCCCCCUCGCCAUCCCUUCUCUUCCCCAGCCACUGGCAACCACUAUUUUUUGUUAACUGUCUCCAUAGUUUUGCCUUUUCAAGAUGUCAUAGUUGGAAUCAUACAGUCUAUAGCCUUUUCAGAUUUUCUUUUUUCACGUACUAAUAUGCGUUUACGAUUUCCUCAAUGGCUUUUCACGGUUUGACAGCUUUUUUUUUUCUUUUGCACUUGACUAUUCUAUUAUCUGGAUAUACCCGGGUUUAUUUGUCCAUUUACUUACUGAAGGACAUCUUGGUUGCUCCCUAGUUUUGGCAAUCGUGAAUAAAGCUGCUAUAAACAUCAAACAUCUGUGUGCGUGUCUUUUGUGUGGACAUAAGUUUUCAGUUCGUUUGGGUAAAUAGCAAGGAACACAGUUGCUGGAUCAUAUGGUAAGAAUACCUUUAGUUUUGCAAGAAACCUCUAAACUGUCUUUCAAAGUGAUGGUACCAUUUUAUAUUCCCACCAGUAAUGAAUGGGAGUUUCUGUUCACAUUCUCACCAGCAUUUGAUAUUGUCACUGUUAAUGGGUUUUGGCCAUUCUAAUAGGUGUGUAGUGGUAUUGUUUUAAUUUGCAUUUUCCUGAUUAUGUGACUUUUUUUCAUAUGCAUACUCGCCAUCUUUAUAUCUUCUUUAGUGAGGUGUCCGUUAAGGUCAUUGUCCUGUUCUUAAAGUCAGGUUCUUUGUUUUCUUAUUGUUGAGGUUUGAGAGUUGUUUAUUUUGAAUAACAGUCCUUUAUCAAAUGUGUCUUUUCUUUUCUUUUUUUUUUUUUUUUUUUUUUUUUGAGAUGGAGUCUUGCUCUGUCUCCCGGGCUGGAGUGCAAUGGGGCCAUCUCAUCUCACUGUAAGCUCUGUCUCCCAGGGGUUCAAGUGAUUCUUCUGCCUCAGCCUCGCAAGUAGCUGGGAUUACAGGUGUCUACCAUCAUGCCUGGCUAAUUUUUGUAUUUUUAGUAGAGAUGGCGUUUGACCAUAUUAGCCAGGCUGGUCUUGAACUCCUCAUCUCAGGUGAUCCGCCUGCUUCAGCCUCCCAAAGUGUUGGGAUUACAGGCAUGAGCCACUGAGCCCGGCUAUCAAAUGUAUCUUUUGCAAAUAUUUUCUCCCAGUCUGUGCCUUGUCUUUUUCAUUCUCUUGACAAUGCCUUUCACAGAGCAGAAAAUUUUAAUCUUAAUGAAGUCCAGUUUAGCAGUUCUUUCUUUCAUGGGUCAUGCCUUCAUCAUUGUAUUUAAAAAGUCAUCAACAAACUCAAGGUCAUCUAGAUUGUCUUCUAUGUCACCAUUUGGGAGCUUUAUAAUUUUGCAUUUUACAUUUAGGUCUGUGAUCCAUUUUGAGUUAAUUUUUGUGAGUGUAAUGUCUGUCUCCUGAUUCAUUUUUUUUUUUUUUGCCUGUGGAUAUCUAGUUGUGCAGUACUAUUUGUUGAAAAGAUUAUCUUUGCUGCAUUGUAUUGCCUUUCUCCUUUGCUGGCAGUGGUUCUUAAGGUGUGGUCUGGGGACUUUUGGGGGUCCUCAAGACCAUUUCAGCAAGUUUGUGAGUUCAAAACUGUUUUCAUAUACUAAGACAUUAUUUGCCUUUUCUAUUUUUAUUCUUUCAAGAACCACUGUACAGUGGAGUUUUCUAGAGGCUGUGUGAUGUGUGUGUGAUAUUGCCAUAGGUUGAAUGUAGUAGCAGAUAAUGAUAAUUCAACUAUUUCCUAUUAAACCACAAAAUAGAGUUUUGCCAAAAUGUGAAACAGUGCCACUCUUCUAAAUUGUGGGGUUUUUUGAAAAUACUGUUAUUUUUCAAAUGAAUUAAUGUUGAUAAAUUUAUCAGUUUCAGUUUCUAACAGUAAAUAUUGGUAGAGAACCCCCACAUGAAAGCUCUUGGCUCCUCAAUUUUAAAAGUGUGAAGGUUCUGAGACUAAAAAAAUGCACCUUUAGGGAUGAGUGUGUAUUAGAAGGGACAAAAGAGUACUCAAAGAGGAACUAGAUCUAAGGGAUCCUUUGAAUUCUCAAAGUAAUUUUGGAUUUGAUUUUGUAGGUAACAGUGCCUCAACUUUUGGAAGAUUUCAAGCAAGAGAUGUGGUAUCAUAAUCCCUAUGUCCACUUUAUGUCCAUAAAUAGAUUGGAAGGAGUGUUCAGUAUGACUUGGAAAGGAAACUGCUGGGGCAAAAAAGUCUUAACAAUAAUAUUUAAAUUUUUUUCCCAAAGGCCUUAAAAAUUAGUUAUUAAUUGGAACUCUUGAUUAUUUGUCCUCUCUCUUUUUUUUUUUUAUGUCAAAACUAUCCUUUUUUGUGAAAGUUAGGCAGGUUAGGUAUCAAUUGUGCCAAAAGUUCUUGACUACCAAACCGUUAGCCUUUGCACAUAUGAUUCCUUGGACUAAAGACAGGGUCUGGCUCUGUCACCCAAGCUGGAGUGUAGUGUCAUGAUCAUGGCUUACUGUAACUCUGAACUCUUGGGCUCAAGGGAUUCUCUUGCCUCAGCCUCCUGAGUAGGUAGGACUACAGGUGUGUGCCACCAUGCCCUGCUAAAGAGAAAGGGGUCUCUUUCCUAGGCUGGUCUCGAACUUCUGGCCUUGGCCUCCCAAAGUGCUGGGAUUAUAAGUGUGAGCCACCAUGCUCGGCCUCUUUUAAACUGUCUUUACCUUGCUCCCAUUAAUAUUCACAUUUAAGGUAACCGCUUUCAUAAAAACAUCACUGAAUAACUCCCCCUGGUCCUGUCAGUCCAGCAUUAUUCUCACCAUUUAUAGAGUUUCAAAUAUUGUUAAACUGUAGUGGCUAUCUUGCUUUUAUGUAUUUUGGGUUUAUGCACAUUUCCUCCACAGAAUAGGAAUUGUUUUCGGUAUUGUUCUCUAUCUCUUCUCCAAGUACCUAGUCAGCAACCCCCCAUGGGUGCUCAGUAAAUAUUGAAUGAUUAUACUUAACCUCCCUUCAUAGCUCAGACUAUUCCAUGAACAAUUUAUGGACAUAAAAAUCUAUGCCAGUAGACAUUUAAGGAUAUUUUUUAUGGUGACUAUGGAAAUUGCCUGGUUACAAAUUUAUAUAUAGAGUCAGUAACAUUGAUAAAAACAUAACAAAUUACUGUUUCAUGGAACUCAUGAGGCAUUAAGAGGCUUAUUUAGUUUUGUUUAGAUACAAGGUAGUGUCUUCCAAAACAUUGUUACUUCAAAAUUUUUGUAGCUGCUCCAGUUGAACACUAUAUUAAAAUGCACAUUUUUGAGGACAUAUUCUUGAAAUUAGGAAUGUAAUUUUUAAGAAUUAAACAGAGGACCAGAAAUAGAUCUGAGGAGUUUAUCAGAGCUGCUUCCUUGCACAACUCUAGAAGGUGCCUGUCACACCUUUUUGUAUGAAAGGUGCCUCCUAGAGUAUAACUGUACAGUAGACUCAUUUUUGAUAUAAGAAGGGAUAAAGCACACUUAACAGAUGAUAUCAAAAUGUAAAAGAAAAGAAGUGUCUGUUUUAGAAGGAAGCUGUAUGAGAUAAUAGGCAAAGGUUAGGGUGGUGGUAGCAAUGGUGGUAAAAAUAGGAUCACUUAAUCUAGAUUACUUAAUCAGUAAGUUGAUUCCAGGGGCCAGUGGGAAUUGCUGAAAGUUUCAUCUGAAUACAUGGAAUUUUUAGCAGUGAUUAGGGGAAUGGUGCUGGUAUUUAUAGCCAUGAACUUAUUACUUGAAAGCAUCCUAGGGACCCAAGUCUUAAUCAAGGGGCAGUUCUUCCAAGUAGUGGUUGAGGAAGUUGGGUAUGCUUUCCAAAACUUCUUUCCUCACUAAAGAUUGCAGAUAUACUCUGUAAGUGACUUCACAGAAUAUACUCAAUUGUCAUAUUUUAAUUUACAUGUUUCUUCUGAUUAUAGGUCCCACGUGAUUAUAAGUUCUGAGAUCAAGGGUCAUCUUUGUGGGGGUGUGUGUGUGCACUUAAAAUUUUAUGUGCUGGUAAUAGUUAUCUUGUGGAUAUUUAAGAAAUAGGAAUGUGUGCCAUAUUUUAAAUACACCUUAUAUGCAAAAAUUUUAAUGUAAUUUAAGUAUAUCGCAAAAAAUAAAUAGCGGGUGGUAUUCACACUGCAGAGGAUUGGCAAGUCUUUUUAAUAUACUUCAAACAAUUGUUGGCAGAAAUCCGCCUCAUGCACUGUAUUGAAUAAUUUGAAACAUUAGCAUUUAACUAAUCCAAAGCUAAGAUAAAGAGAUUUUGAGGUGAGGUGAUAAAUAUAUGCGGUUGUCCUUCAGUAUCUAUAGGGGAUUGGUUCCAGGACCUCCCACAGAUAAGAAAAUCCAAGGGUGCUCAAAUCCCUGAUGUAAAAUGACAUUGUUUGCAUAUAACCUAUGCACAUCUCCUGAAUACUUUAAAUCAUCUCUAGGUUACUUAAAAUGCCUAAUACAAUAUAAGUGCUACAUAAACAGUUGUUAUACUGUAUUGUUUAGGGAAUGAUGACAAGGAAAAAUGUCUGCGCAUGUUCAGUAGAGAUGCAUUUUUUUGGUAUAUUUUCGAUUCAUGAUUGAAUCCAUGAUAAUGGAACCCAUUGAUAUGGAGGGCUAAUUGUGUGUACAUACACACACACACACAUAAUUUUUUAUUCAUUAUUUAUUUAUUUAUUUAUAUGUUUGUUUGUUUUUGAGAUGGAGUCUUACUCUGUUGCCCAGGCUGGAGUGCAAUGGCACGAUCUCAGCUCCUACAACCUCUGCCUCCUGGGUUCAAGCGAUUCUCCUGUCUCAGCCUCCCGGGUAGCUGGGAUUACAGGCGCGAGCCACCAGGCCCAGCUAAUUUUUGUAUUUUUAGUAGAGACGGGGUUUCACCAUGUUGGUCAGGCUGGUCUCAAACUCCUGACCUCGUGAUCCGCCUGCCUCUCGGCCUCCCAAAGUGCUGGGAUUGCAGGCGUGAGCCACCGCGCCUGGCCCCACACACAUAAUUUUCUUUUUUGCAAUUAUUUAUUUUUUUUCCCUUUUAGAGUACACAUUUUUUUGCAAUUUUAAAAUUGAGACAUAAUCUACAUAACAUAAAAUUCAGUUUUAAAGUAGAGAAUUCAGUGUUAUUUAGUAUGUUCACAGUGUUGUGUGCAACCAUCCCCAUUAUGUAAUUCUAGAACAUUUUCCAUCACCCAAGAAAGAGAUCCUGUAUCUGUUAACGGUCACUCCUAAGCUCUCCUCGGCCCCCCUGCAACCAUUAAUCCACUUUCUAUCUAUGAAUUUUUCUGUUCUGUACAUUUCGUAUUAAUGGAGUCAUACAAUAUGUGGCCUUUUGUGCCUGGCUUCUUUCAGUUAUAAUGUUUUAAAGGUUUGUCCUUGUAGCACAUAUCAGUACUUUAUUCAUUUUUAUAGGUGAGUAAUACUCCCUUGUAUAGUUACCCACAUUUCAUUUAUACCUUCAUUAGUUGGUGGACAUUUGGGUUGUUUAGCCAUUUGGGCUGUGAAGAAUAGUACUGCUAUGAACAUUCACAUACAAGUUUUCGUGUGAACAUAUUUUCAGUUCUCUUAGGUAUAUAUCUAGGAGUAAAAUUACUGGGUUAUAUGGUAAUUCUGUGUAACUUUUUGAGGAACUACCAAACUGUUUUCCACAUCAGUGACACUGUUUUACAUUCCCAUCAGCAAUGUAUGAAGAUUCCUGUUUCUCCUCUACUUUCUUGCCAAACUUGUUAUUUUCAGGAUUUUAGUUUUAUGAUUUUUAAAAAAUAGUCAUCCUAGUGGGUGUGAAGUGUUAUGUCAUUGUGAUUUUGGUUUCCAUUUCCCUAGUGGUUAAUGCUGUUUAGCAUUUCUUUAUGUGGUUAUUGACUAUUUGUAUAUCUUUGGGAAAAUAUCUAUUCAAGGUCUUUUGCCUGUUUUAAAAUUUGAUCUUUAUGUAUUCUGGAUACCAGAAGAGUACUUUACAUACCUCACAUACUAGAUCUUUAUAUGAUUUGUAAUUUUUUUCCCCAUUCUGUGGCUUGGCUUGUCACUUUCUUGAUACAAUGUCUUUUAAUGCACAAAAGUUUUAAAUUUUCAAGUCUAAUUUUUCAAGGGUUUUUUCUUUUUUUUUUUUUUUAAAGACAGAGUCUUGUUCUGUCACCCAGGCUAGAGUGCAGUGGUGUGAUCUUGGCUCACUGCAACUUCGCCUCCCAGGUUCAAGUGAUCCUCCCACCUUAGCCUCCCGAGUAGCUGGGACUACAGGCAUGUGCCACCAUGCUGGCUAAGUUUUUGUAUUUUUAGUAGAGACAGGGUUUUUCCAUGUUGGCCAGGCUGGUCUUGAACUCCUGACCUCAAGCGAUCUACCUGCCUCGGCCUCCCAAAAUGCUGGGAUUAUAGACGUGAGCCAUCACACUCUCACCCAGCCUCUGAUUUUUUCGAUUGUGCUUUCGAUAUAUCUAAGAAAUCAUUGGCUGAUUCAAGGUUAUGCACCUUUACAACUCUAAGAGUUUUAGGAAGAAAUUUUAGCUCUUAGAUUUAAGAUUGAUCAAUUUUGAGUUAACUUUUGUAUAUGGUAUGAAGAAACACAUUUGUAUUAAGGAAAACCAAAGAUAUUUGGGUUUUUAAUCUUUUGAAGUUGACAUGGAAUACAACUCUACUACCUCUGUGUAAUGUGGAAAUGGAAUUGUGCAGGAGAAAAAUGUUACUUGAUGGCAAUCUCCAUGACUACUGGGUAUAGUUUGGUGAUGGAUAACUGGAAUUAUUUGGGUCAUUCUUUCAGCUGGAUAAACCACUUAAUCUGAUCCAGUUUAUAUUUUUUACAUUUUCAGAAUAGUCUUAGAUAUAUGAAGAAGGUAACAAAUAGUUGCAUGACUAUCAAUAAGUUGUUUUGGUCCACAAAUAAUAGUGUCAUUGUAUGUUUCCAUGGUAUCUUUUUUUUUUUUUUUGAGACGGAGUUUUGCUCUUGUCCAGGCUGGAGUGCAGUGGCACGAUCUAGGCUCACUGCAACCUCCGCCUCCUGAGUUCAAGCGAUUCUCCUGCCUUAGCCUCUCAAGUAGCUGGGAUUACAGACGUGUGCCACCACGCCUGGCUAAUUUUGUAUUUUAGUAGAGACGGGGGUUUCACCAUGUUGUCCAGGCUGGUCUCAAACUACUGACCUCAGGUGAUCCACCCAUCUCAGCCUCCCACAGUGUUGAGAUUACAGGCAUUAGCCACCACCCCCAGCCAGCAAGCAAUUUUUUAAAGGUAGAUUUUUGCCAACAUUUAAAAAAAAUCAUAUUUUUUUUGGAGUGCUAAGGAAAAAUGGUGACAGUCCAGAAAAUAUUAUAAAGAUGAGUGGGCCAGGCACAGUGGCUCACGCCUGUAAUCCCAGCACUUUGGGAGGCCAAGGUGGAUGGAUAACCUGUGGUCAGGAGUUCAAGACCAGCCUGACCAACAUGGAGAAACCCCACAGCCUGAGCAACAAGAGUGAAACUCCGUCUCAAAAAGAAAAAAUGAGUGACACUUGAUUCUUACCUUAAAAGGAGCCUGAGAUCUAAUAGUGUAAAAUGUGCAAACUAAUAAUUGAUUAUAAUACAUUAAGGUAAAUGCAUAAUAAAUUUUUACAUAAAGAUCAAAGUAGGAGAGAGUAAUUAACUUUGAAGGAGGUUAGUAAAGACCUCACAGAGGGGAGGUAACAGGAACUUUAAGGAUGAAUGGUGAUUUGCAGAUGAUAAGCAGUGACAUGGGGCAAAAAAGCGCUUUAUGGUGUGUUUGUGGGAAACUGAAUAGUUUUGUGUGGUAGAAUGCAAAGUGUUAAUGGGAGUAAGGGGAGAUGAGGCUGGAGAGGGAGCUCUUAAAGGAGCAGGACUUGUCUUGAUAAACUCUGGGCUCUUCAGUGCCAUCCUCCGUCUUCAUUUUAGAGCCCUCCUUUCUCCCAUUUAUUAGCUGCUUCCCUAGCUUUAGAUACCAGUGCUGUGAAACUAGCAAUGUAUUUUUUCCUUUUCACACAUAGUUUGUAGUGAGGUUGUUGAGAAAGACAGGAAAGAAGGAAUGCAUGAUUCUGUUGGCACAUGUGCAGGGGGCUAAAUAUACCUUGCCACCCAAAAUUGGACCUCCGAAUGUUGUUAUACAUAGUGUUUGGCUCUCCAAAUAAGUAAAAUCAGGCAUACUGUGAACUCAUGGCUUUUGUGGGCUUGUCUGGGAAUUGAGCUUUUAUUGAGUUCCAAAUUUAUGAAUGAACUUAACACAAACUAUCUUAUUGGGUGAUAGUAUGAAUAAAUAAGAUUUGUUAAAUCAGUUUGAAGUCAGUAAGAAUCUUCGUGGCCUGUUUGAUUUAAUUAGUGACUUUUAUAUAUCUGAAAAUGAUAUAUUGUCACUUGUGCAUUUUUAAAGCUGGAUUUCUACCAAACAAGGCUUUGUUAGUCUUGGAUGGGUGCUUUGGCUCAUCCCUGUAAUUCCAGAACUUUGGGAGGCCGAGGUGGGCAGAUUGCUUGAGUCCAGGAGUUUGAGACCAGCCUGGGUGACAUAGUGAAAUCCCAUCUCUACUGAAAAUAUAAAAAUUAUUUGGGCAUGGUGGCACACACCUGUAGUCCCAGCUACUUGUAAUGCUGAAGCGGGAGGAUCACUUGAGCCCAGGAGGCAGAGGUUAUAGUGAGCCGAGAUCAUGCCACUGUACUCCAGCCUUGGUGACAGUGAGACCCUGUCUCAAAAAAAAGACUUUAUUCGUCUUAAGGAAAUUAAUAUGCUCAUUAGCAUUACAUAUUGAGUCUUGUUAAAAUAAAACUUUAGACAAAUUAAAUUUGGCAGUUAAUUUGAGCAAAGAAACAAUUCAUGAAUUGAGCAGCACCCUGAAGGAGUAAAGGUUCAGAGAGUUCCACCCAGCAAUGUGGAUAGUCAGGAUUUAUAGACAGAAAAAGAAGUGACAUCCAGACAUAGUCUGAUUGGUUACAGGUCCACGUUUGUGUCCACGUUUGCCUUAUUUGGACAUGUCUGAGCAGCUUGCCGCUUGUGAUUGGCAGAACGCUUAGCCUCGUUACAAGAAUAUACUCGAGUUAGGUUGCAGUUUUAACAUACUGAGGUGCAGUUCCCUGCUUAUGGAAGCAGCUUUAGGCCAAAUUUAAUUAACAGUGUCACUAUUCAGGUUGUGUUGAGAUUAUUGUGAAACACUAAUCUGUCCUCAGUCUAGUAGGGUAGAUGACGUAUGCAGAUAGCUGUAUUGCCAGACAAUGUGAGAUAAGUACAGAUCAAAUGAUGUUAAAAAUCAGAUAAGAGAGAUACUGCUUUUGAUAAGGGAAGAUAACUGGACCUUAAAUGAUAAGUUAUUAGGAACACUAGGCAUUUCAGGUGGAGGAAAGAGCAUGAGCAAACAUUUGUAGACAGGAAGCUGAAAUUGUGUUUGAGGAACAAAGAGAUUUGUAAAUGGGGUGCUUUUGGACUGUGAGAGGGACAGGUUGGGUGCAAUGAGAAAUACAGUCGGAGCAAUUGUCUGAGGCUAGAUUGUGAAGGGAGUAUGACUUUUAAUUAUAUGACCUUUAGAUAUAGCUUUUUGGCUACUGUAGGUCAAGUUGGACCAUAGUUAGAGCCAAUUUUUCAAAAUUACACUUUAUCUGUAGUUUCUGCUGCCAGUGUGAAAACAGGAAAGGCAAGGAGUUUUGCUGAUCUGGAAGCUGAGAUGAGAUUUUGCUGCUUCAAGUUUUUGUAUUAACUUUAUUAUAGAAUGAAUGAAUGGUGGCAAUUACUGAGGUUUGGGGAUUUCCGAGUCUCUAGAUUGCACAGGAAUCAUUGAAGAAGUCUUCUCAACAGAAAUAAUGUAAACCUAACUUUGAUCUGAAGGAAGAAAUUUUAUAAAAGAAAGGAAACUUUCAGUCUUCAGGGAUUCACAAAGUCUGAUAAAAAUUGGUGUAUUAGUCUAUUCUCGUGCUGCUAUGAAGAAACACCCAAGACUGGGUAAUUUAUAAAGAAAAGAGGUUUAAUUGACUCACAGUUCUGCAUGGCCAGGGAGACCUCAGGAAACUUACAAUUAUGGCAGAAAGGGAAGCAAACAUGUCCUUUCUCACAUGAUGGCAGGAGAGAGAAGUGCCCCUUAUAAAACCAUCAGAUCUCAUGAGAACUCACUCACUAUCAUGAGAACAGCAUGGGAGAAACUGUCGCUAUGAUUCAGUUAUCUCCACCUGGUCCUGUCCUUCACAUGGGUAUUAUUACAACUCAAGGUGAGAUUUGGGUAGGGACACAGAGCCAAACCGUUUCAGUUGGUUUAGUUAGGACAUACAAAAUGGGGAGAAUAGCUAACCUUUAAGGAAACCUUUCUAUGUCUUGGGCAAUUGACAUGCAUUGUUAACACAAUGUUUAUACAAACCUAUUCAUCAGAUAGUCUUAUUGGCUUUAUUUUCCACAUACUUAAACCAAAACACUAUUAGUAAGAAGACAUAGAGAAUAAAUCUGACAUUUAGAUGGCGAUGAAGAACCUUGACUAGAGGUCAGGCAAUCUGAAGGGGAGCUUCUUAGCUCACAGAAAACUUAUAUGGAAUGAGAUAUAGAUAGGAGAGAGCUUUUCUUUGAGGAAUAUAAUUUAUGUAAAUAUGUAAGAUUACAUUUUGAGAUGUCAACUUUCUAUACUUUUUUUCUUUUCUUUUUGAGAUGGAGUCUCACUCUGUUACGCAGGCUGGAGUGCAGUGUCGCGAUGUCAGCUCACUGCAACCUCUGCCUCCCAGGUUCAAGUGAUUCUCCUGCUUCAGCCUCCCAAGUAGCUGGGACUGUGAGUGCACGCUACCAUGCCUGGCUAAUUUUUGUAUUUUUAGUAGAGAUGGGGUUUCACCAUGUUGGCCAGACUGGUCAGGAACUCCUGACUUCAAGUGAUCCGCCCACCUCCAUCUCCCAAAGUGCUGGGAUUACAGGAGUGAGCCACCACUUUAUCUUAAGAUAAAUUUUCCAUAUGCUUCAAGAGGAGUAAGCUCUAACUGGAAUGUAGGGUACUGACCCUAGCUCCAUAUGACCUCACAAAAAUCUGUUACUAAAAUAGUUUAUUUUCUAAAUUACCUUCUUACUCUGUUAUUCUGUGAUGCUAUAAUUGUGCUCCUUUAGCUUUUUUUGUUGUAGGCUUGGUCCUUUGGAAACGAAUACCAGAAACAGUUUCUCUCUGAGCCUUUGCUUCAUUCUCCAUCAGAGUAUUCUGUCCCAUUUACUACUAUAUCAUUAUUUGAAAAACAGUUUGAAUUUGCAUAUCUUAUUAUCAUUGGUAGGAAUAGGUGGCAUUGUCUUAUGUGAUUCUUGUUUUAGGAGGAAAUGGGCAACAAAAAUGUGAAUUUUCAGCUGGGUGUGUUGGUGCAUCCUUGUAGUCCCAGCUACUCAGGUGACUGAGGUGGCAGUAUUUCUUGAGGCCAGUAGUUUGAGGCCACCUUGUACAACAUAGCGAGACCACAUCACAUAAAAAAUAAUAACAAUAAAUAAUUUUUUUCCAGUGUGUAUCUUGGAUGUAAAAAAAAGGGAGUUUCUUUCUACCUUUAUUAAAAAUUGUCUUAUAUGUGUUGCCUGUUGUUCAUAUUGGGGGAUCAGCUGAGGGUGUGUAAGGAGCAUCACUAAUCCAUCACCAUUUAUGUUCUACCACAGUGACAUAAUCUUAAAAUUAUUAAGUGAUGAAUUGAUGGAUAAUUGCUUCACCUUAUUUUUAUCUCUUCAUUUUAAUUCUUCAGAAACACAGAAAUGUAAACAUUAUUAUUGUUGCCAGGAUCCUUAAUUUAAUUUGCAUGAUGGAAGGACUGUGUUUCUUAAAUUAUAUGAAUGCUGUGUAUAUGUAUUGUAGAAUGGGGAAUUGCAUGUAUCUGUUUAAUAUUAGAAAUCUGUAAUAGGUCAAGGCUGCAUCAGUUUUUGUGGCUGUAAUUGCUUGCACAUUUUUGGCUUAUAAACUUUUGUGUACCAGUGACAACCAUUAAGAGCCAGAAAAGUUUGCUUUUACUUGCAGUACAUGUACAUCUAGUUUUGAGUUAUUUGUCAAAAAAGGGUGAACUUUCUUUUUGGCUUUUUUUUUGGGGGGGCCUUUUGUGACUUGAAAUUAAGCAACUUACUGAUAUAGUUUUUUUUUUUUUUUUUUUUUGAGACAGAGUCUUGCUCUGUUGCCCAGGCUGGAGUGCAGUGGCGCGAUCUCUGCUCACUGCAACCUCCGCCUCCUGGGUUCAAGGAGUUAUCCUGCCUUAGCCUCCUGAGUAGCUGGGAUUAUAGGCUCUCAUCACUACGCCUGGCUAAUUUUUGUAUUUUAUUUUUAGUAGAGAUGGGGUUUUGCCAUGUUGGCCAGGCUGGUUGUGAACUCCUGACUUCAGGUGAUCCACCCACGUUGACCUCCUAAAGUGCUGGGAUCACAGGCGUGAGCCACCUCACCUGGCCUGAUGUAGUUUAGAAUAAUCUUUAGUUGUGUCCAAUAUGUAGUUUUACCUAGCAAACUCGUUUUAAUUGUUGGUACCUUUUUUUUUUUUUAACUUCUCUAAGUUCAUCUACCUUCAGAUUGCAUCUUUGGAAGGGGAUGGGCAGAAUUUUGGAAGGUAGCAGUUCUCUUAGAUGAAUAGAAAAGAGGCCAGGCAUGGUGGCUCACGCCUGUAACCCCUGCACUUUGGGAGGCCAAGGCAGGUGGAUCACCUGAGGUCAGGAGUUUGAGACCAGCCUGGCCAAUAUGAUGAAACCCCGAGAUUGCGCCACUGCACUCCAGCCUGGGUGACAGAGUGAGACUCUUUCUCAGGGAAAAGGAAAAAAAAAGGGAAAAUAAAAGAAAAUGAAUUUCUCCAAUUAACAGUUACUGGCUUUAUUUCAGGCGAGCUGUCAUGGGGGAAUUUGUCUGGUUUUGAGAUAUAAGAUCAGUGUGAAGAUUUAUUGAUACAUACAAAAUGGAGUGGGUUGCUCUGCAAUGAAUUUGUGUGUUAAAACUGAAUAUCAAAGAUAAAAUAAGUUAACUGGAUAGUUGCAUUUGAUCUUUUGGUAUGGAACCGGAGUAAAGAUCUGAUUUAUGUUUUUUUUUGUUUGUUUUUUUGAGACAGUCUUGCUUUGUCACCCAGGCUGCAGUGCAGUGGCACAAUCUCAGCUCACUGCACUGGGUUCCAGUGAUUCUCAUGCCUCAGCCUCCCAAGUAGUUGGGAUUAUAGGUGUGCACCCACCGUGCCUGACUAAUUUUUGUAUUUUUAGUAGAGACGGGCUUUUGCCAUGUUGGUCAGGCUGGUCUGGAACUCCUAGCCUCAUGUGAUCCACCCGCCUUGGUCUUCCAAAGUGCUGGGAUUACAGGUGGGAGCCACCGCACCCGGCCCUCUGAUUUGUUCUUUACGUGGUCACUUUGCCUCCCAUUUUCAGAAUUGGAAGAUAUACCCACAUUAUCCUUAUUCCCAUUUGUACAUUUCCUUAUUGAAGUAAAACCAGCUGUUUAAUGACUGAAAAGUUACAGUUUAGCAGGCAGUAAUUUUUUUUUUUUUUUUUUUUUUUGAGACGGAGUUUCACUCUUACUCCCCAGGAGGCUGAAGUGCAGUGGUGCUAUAUCUUGGCUCACCGCAACCUCUGCCUCCCAGGUUCAAGCGAUUCUCCUGCCUCAGCCUCCCGAGUAGCUGAGAUUACAGGCAUGCGCCACCACGCCCGGCUAAUUUUUGUAUUUUUAGUAGAGCUGGGAUUUCACCAUGUUGGCCAGGAUGGUCUCGACCUCCUGAUGUUGUGAUCUGCCCGCCUCAGCCCCCCAAAGUGCUGGGAUUACAGGUGUGAGCCACUGCACCCGGCCUAUUUUUCUUUUAUUAACAUUAGCUUUAGUAAUUUUUCUUCACAGAACUAUGUAUUUGUGUAUUUGUUGUCAGGUUUGGAAUUUGUGUUGGCUAUCAAUUUAAUAUAAAGUCUUAGACUUUAUAGAGUAUAAACCCUCAUUUAUUUUUGUUCAUCGUAUUCUUGCAAAAUACUGUUUUGACUUGGUGACCUAGAGUGGAUCAAGGCACUAUCUUCAAGUGGUUUCUGUAGUAGCCUAACCUAGAAACACUGCCUGACAUAGCUGAGUGGCAAUGAAAAACAGCCAUAGGUACUAACUUAAAAAUUAGCUAUAGAAUUGCAACUGGCAGCUAAGUUAGAAAGCUAUUUAUAGAGCAGCUUGGGAUACUAAGAUACUCCUUGACUGCAUGAAGGUGCAGUGCAAGGAGAGAACCAUUGCUUCGCAUCAGGAGAUUGGAAACCUUUUUUUUUUGAGACGGAGUUUUGGCCUUGUUGCCCAGGCUGGAGUGCAGUGGCGGGAUCUCGGCUCACUGCAGCCUCUGCCUCCCGAGUUCAGGAGAUUCUCCUGCGUCAGCCUCCCAAGUAGCUGGGAUUACAGGUGCCCGCCACCAUGCCCGGCUAAUUUUUUAUAUUUUUAGUAGAGACGAGGUUUCACCAUGUUGGCCAGGCUGGUCUCAAACUCCUGACCUCAGGUGAUCUGCCCGCCUCAGCCUCCCAAAGUGCUGGUAUUACGAGUGUGAGCCACUGCACCCAGCCGGAAACGUUUUAAGAGAGAAACUUACUAAUAAGUUGCUUCCUGUCCUUGGGCUUAUAGACUUAAUCUAGAAUUGAUUUUUCUUUGACUUUCUUCAUCAGAGUUAUAUUUUCAUAACUUAAUGACUAACCAAGAAUGUGUUAUAACUGUUGAGGCCCCUUUUAACGUAGUUUACCCCUUCUGCUAUUACUUAGAAUUGAUAGUAAUUACAUCUCUAGGGCAAAAGAUGACUGGAAAAUUGCUUUGUGUUCUUCUCAUGUAACAUCAUAUAAGACCUGUUCACCUAAAAUCUAGUGAGUUGAUUUAGUUUGUUCUCUGACAUUCUUGGCUUCUUUAAACUUGCUUAUAAAUUAAGGCUUGCAGUUUGAGUCAUUUGGAAAUGGGCAAUGCCCAGAACUUUCGCAACUUGUGAACUUGAGUUGAAUAAUGUGUCGCUUUCCUCAUAGUCUGUCAACUUUAGUUCAUUGUAGCCACAAAGAAGAUGAUUAUGCCAAUGAGGAUUAUACUAAACCAGACAAGAGGUGGCCUACUGUGUAUACUAGGAAUUAGAUUUGUGAGAACUAAACACAACACUGAAUUUGUGAAAAUGUGUGCAGUUUAGAGUAAUUAGAGAAAAUGAUAAGUCUCACUCAGACCACAUGGAAAUGGGGGUAGAGUGUGUGUGUGUUGUGGAUGUGUGUCUUCAUCUAUCCUGCUAGUGGAAAGGUUACUGUUUGAAAAAUGUAGUUCCAACACAGCCACUAGUUUGUGCUACUUUAGACAAGUAUUUAAAUCUUUGCAAUAGAGAUAUUAUAAUAGAGCAUUCCUUGCCUUGGCACAAGGCUGUUGUUAAAUUGGAAGACUAAGGAUAUGAAAGAAUUUUGUAAUGUAUAAAGAAAUCUUGGCCAAGCACGGUGGCUCAUGCCUGUAAUCCCAACACUUUGGGAGGCCAAAGUGGGAGGAUCACUUAAGGCCAGGAGUUUGAGACCAGCCUGGGCAACAUAGUGAGACCUUGUAUCUACAGAAAAUUUAAAAAUUGGCUGCAUGUGCUGGCAUGUACCUGUAGUCCCAGCUACUCCAGUCUGGGUGACAGAGUAAGACCCUGUCUUUAUUAAGAAAGAAAGAAAUCAUAUGUGCAUUAUAAAGAUUUUGCCACUCUUAAGAUUGAGUGCAAGGAUCUAUGGUAACACUUCCCAGUUGAUGAAGAAAUUGGGCAUUAGAUAAUGAAGGUUUUGCAGCAGUAAUUGAGUUUGAGCUAUUUUCAUGACAGUGUAUUGGAAAGGUGAUAGAGGAGUUGUCUCCUAAAAUGAGGGAAAACAUCAAUACAAAAUGAUGGUAAGAAAGAAAUGAAAAUAUUUGUAAUGAUGCUUUAAAGCUUUAGGGUACUUUUAAAAUACCCUAAAUAUAUCACCUUACUAAGCCAAGAUGUUGUGAAAAUUAAGUAUUAGUCCUAUUUUUUAAAUGUUGAAAUGGAAACUGAGUGACUAAUUAACAUGCCUGAAAUCACAAUGGUGAAUCAUGAAUCUCGAAUUUGAUUCUAGAUUUUUUUUGCUCAUUCUGAUGUGUUGGUUAGUCUUGUUAUAGUACAGUUGUAGCACAUGGAAAUGGAUGGGACCAUGCAUGGAAGCCAGAGAGUCUAGAGCAGAACUUCAGUGAUGGCAAAUUAAAAUCUUCAUUAUCAGUAUUUGAAGCAGAUAUUGAAAAUGAAUAGCUCUUAGGACAGACUAUCAAAUAAAUGUGAGCCAGAAGAUUUUUAAUGGGAGAAAUUAACUUUAAUGAAAUAUCUUGUAGAAAGAGUUAAAAACAAGAUACCUGCCAAUCCCAGUCACUCUGGAGAGUAUCUAAUGUAGCAAUGAAAGUAAAAACUAGUUAACAUUCUCCAGUGUUUGUCAAGUUUAGGAAGAGAUUAACUUGAAAAGCUGUGGUUGGGUAGAAGGUUUAUUUGAAGAUCGUUUGGCAUCAUAGCAAAAAAAAGUUGGUGAAAGAUUGGUACUGUAGAAUGAUGGGAGAAAGAUGAUUAAAUUUCCCUUCCUACUUGUCUAGACCACUUAAAAUGUAUAUUACUUUCUCACACAAGCCAGGAUAAAGAUACACUCUUUAAGAAAUUUAGGAGACUCUUCAUAUAUCCAUUCAUAGAUAGAAUGUGGUUUUGAAAAUAAAUGGGAUAUUGUAUAAAUAUAGAUCUAUAUAAAAUUUUAUAAUUCCUUUUAAGAAAGACAUUUGUCAGGAAGUAAAAUUGUCAGACUUUUUAGUGCUGAGAAAUAGGAAAUAGGUGAAUGUGGGUUAUAUGGAGUCUUUUUUUUUUUUUUUUUUUUUUUUUUGAAUUUCAAGACAGGGUCUCACUAUGUUGCCUAGGCUGGAGUUCAGUGGCUAUUCACAGUUGUCAUCAUUGCAUACUACAGCCUCAAACUCUUGGGCUGAAGUGAUCCACCCACCUCAACCUCCUGAGUGGCUGGGACUACAGGUGCAUACCACUGUACCCUUCUAGGAAUCUUAUAAGAACAGGUGUAUGGUUAUGAGGUGUAUGAGGAUAGAGAUAUUUUUUGUCCUGGUGAUUAUUUCUUCUUGUAGAAUAAUCCUGGUGAUUUUUCCUUCUUGUAGAAACUUAAAGGCGUAAUAUUAAACUUAUUAGGAAAAAUAACUCUGGCUUUAUUUUGUAGUGAUUUAUUAAUGGCUUUAUUUUAUAGUGAUAUAUUAAUAAUGUAUUAAAAUUGCUCAUAUUUUCCACUUAGAGAGUAUUAUUUCAAAAUUUAAAGCCAUGUAGAUAGGUUAUUAUUUGGUGCUACAUCCGCCAUUACUGCAGUUGGUUUCCAGCAGUUUGAAAAAUGAUUUUUCAGAAAUGGCUUUCACUUGUUACUCAGUGGCUUACAGCAACGGUCCCCAACCUUUUUGGCACCAAGGAGUGGUUUCAUGGAAGACAGUUUUUCCACAGACUGGCAGGGGGUGUGUGGAGGGAUGGUUUCGGGAUGAAACUGUUCCACCUCGAUCAUAGGCAUUAGAUUCUCAUAAGGAGUGCACAGCCUAGAUCCCUUGCAUGUGCAGUUCACAAUAGGGGUCGCGCUCCUAUGAGAAUCUAAUGCCCCUGCUGAUCUGAUAGGAGGCAGAGCUCAGGCAGUAAUGCUUCCUAGCUCACCAGCUACUGUGUGGCCCAGUUCCUAACAGGUCAUGAGCCAGUAAUGGUCCACGGCCUGGGGGUUGGGAACCCCUGGCUUACAGGGUCUUCACAUGCUUACUAGCUACAGUUACGUCACUUAAUCGUGUAAUAAAUGGCUCGUGUAAUUUUGAGUCACUUAAAGUGAUCAGAUUGUUUUAAUUGUGAAGCAUGUGAAUAAAUAAAUGAGAUUUCCACCGUCUGGUACUAUAUACGUAAAACUAGAGGCUUUGCAAAAUUACCAAGAGACGAUCCCGUUUGAUGUGUCUUUGGUUUGGCACAGGUGGAGCAGACAUGUGAGAUAUAGAAUGAAUGGGAGGCCUUCACACUUACUCACUAUGUGGAAGGUGGUAGUUGAUCAUGAUGGUCAGUUCCAUAGGCCUCCAGGCCACUGGUGACACACUACCACUGUUGCCAUAAUUCUUAAAAGUCAUUUUAUGUGGGGCUCCUUCCUAGCAACCUCCCUCAAACACAUAGCUCCAUCCCUUCCAAGAGCUAAGAAAUUUUUAGCACUUGCCACCAUCUAUUUGUUCAUUUGUUUACUGAUUACAUUCCUCCCAUUAGUAUAUAAGCUCCGUGAUAAUAGAAACUUUGUCCACUAUUGUAUAUUUCUAACUCCUAAGACACUAUUGGCGUAUUAUAGUAUGCAGUUAAUACUAGAAUAAAUGGGAUUUCUGUUUGUUCUUACUGAGGUUUGCAAAGCUUCAUGAAAGUGGAAUAUAAAGAUUCUCGUUGUUCUGUGUGCAUUGGGGACAUGGAACGGAACUUGUGUUUUCUGAGUGAGGGAGCCUCUGGCAGAGAGUCUAACUGCAAUCCAUUAUUCCCUGUGACUGGGCAGAAUUUAAAAAUUUUUAAGAGAAGAGAUGAAAAAUCUUCUGGAUUCCUACUUAAUUUAGACAUGGGUUUGGCUCUUAACGAAAAACUUUAACCUACCUACAGGGAAGGCUUUUUCGCUGUUACCCUUACUUCUGUCUCCUGGAUCUUAUGAGUGGAGAAAUGAGCCUUUGUUUCACUUACAAAUCCACAAAUAUUUAUGCUGUCAUAUGAACACAUGUAUAAGGCGCUGUGUCACAUUGUGGAAGAUACAAAGAGACAGGAUUCCUGAGAAUUUAACAAAGUUAAGAAUGAGUGUUAUUAAUUAAAACAAAAAUGGGACAUUUAGGUUAUAGUUGAGACCAUGUUCUUGUUUUUUAAACGUGAGAUGUUUUUGGACACAGAGGUGAAAAAUUCUAAUGUCUCUAACUCCCCCAGAAGACCUUAGAUUGAUUUUUCUGAGAAGAAAUUUGUGAAUGAUUUGCAUAGAGAUUUUCUUUGAGGUUAAGAAAUUAGAUGAGUUUCCCGGGGUGAAAAAAACAGAAGCAGAGAUUAUUGUUAAAAAUGGUCAUGGGUAGAGGGGUUAGAGGGCAAAGUAGGCAGAAUAGAAGCAUGUUUGUGUUUUAAGGAGGCUAAGAACUAGAAUAUAGCACUCAUAAAAGGAAAAUGCAAAUGCACUGUGAAUAGCUGCUACUGGUAGUGUAUUAAUUUCUUAGCUACAUGUAAACUUUUAUUAGUGUGCUUAUAACUAAGGUGAUGUGUAAUAUGUCAUCCAAACUUGGGUCACUUUUAAGAGUGAAAGGGUGUGCUAUCUGAAUGGGACCCUGGACAACAGGUGUGAACCAGGACUGUUCCAGCAAAACCAGGACGGUUGGUCAUUCCUAACUAAUAACGUACUUUUCUCCAGACUUAGUCCCAAUUCCUUUAACCUCUCCAGAAUUAUCUAUAAAUAAUUAUAGAUAUUAUACCAUAAAUGUUUUUUCCUUUAUAGUACUCUGAUCUGCACUUGCAGAGCCUCUCAGUUGUUGGUUUCUUUUUCCCUGUCUUGUUGGAAAGAAAGGAGAAUUUUUCUGCCCCCACUCUGGACCCUGCUUGGGUUCACAGCAUUGGUGGAGGUGGGGUUGUCAUUGUGAAAUUUAAGAUCUUCAAAGAAGAGAAUGUAAUUUAUACCAUGAAUAUGUUAUUUUUUCAUGUUGGAGCACUGUAAUACUUUCAGUUUGUUUUCUUAUUGUUUAAAUAAAAUUUUUAAUUCUUA